This 398-nucleotide long non-coding RNA is filed under the name Heterocephalus glaber (naked mole-rat). RNAcentral's name for it is "lncRNA (ENSHGLG00100042561.1)". The record is from RNAcentral. Lineage: Eukaryota; Metazoa; Chordata; Mammalia; Rodentia; Bathyergidae.
GAGAACGCUAAGGUAGAAAGCAGAACACAGUAGGGAAGGCAGUACUGGGGGUGGAGAGUACUGUGCAGGAGGGAGUACUUGGGGUGGAGAGUACUGUGCAGAAGGGAGUACUGGGGUGGAGAGUACUGUGAAGAAGGGAGUACUGGGGGUGGAGAGUACUGUGCAGAAGGGAGUACUGGGGGUGGAGAGUACUGUGCAGAAGGGAGUACUGGGGGUGGAGAGUACUGUGCAGAAGGGAGUACUGGGGUGGAGAGUACUGUGAAGAAGGGAGUACUGGGGGUGGAGAGUACUGUGAAGAAGGGAGUACUGGGGGUGGAGAGUACUGUGCAGAAGGCAGUACUGGGGUGGAGAGUACUGUGCAGAGGCAGUACUGGGGGGGAGUACAAGGAUUAUGGAGG